Molecule: non-coding RNA, 2258 nt
Organism: Hyla sarda
Lineage: Eukaryota; Metazoa; Chordata; Amphibia; Anura; Hylidae
Source: the annotation of a RefSeq genome assembly
ACACCUAGGUGGCUCAUGGCGAGAAUCGUUGUCCUAGGUGUUCUGUGUGCGCUGACAGAAUCCCUGAAAGUGUGGACAACAGCACCGGAGGCCUUGGUCCUGGUGGAUGGAGAUGUUUUACUCCAUUGUUAUUUCACAUUUGUGGAGCCCAUCAGAGCAGAGGACGUUGCCGUGAAGUGGACGGUGAGGCGCAGCGAUGGAGCUGUAAGACCAGUCUACAUGUUUGAUGGAGUAAAUAUUGAUUCCCUGCGACUGGAAAGCUCUAUUGAUCACCACCUCCUGGAGACAGGCAAUGCCUCUUUAUACCUGGCAAACCUAUUGGUGGAGGAUGAGGGGGAGUACACCUGCACUGUGCUCAUACCUCCAGAGGUUGGGGACACUGUGCUGGACCUGAAACUUGCAGCACAGCCCACUGUCACCCUGCUCCCGGAGAACCCUCAUCUGACCAACGGCGAGAUGAAGACCUUUAUCUGUAAACUCAGUCAUUUCUAUCCACAAGAUCUUGAUAUAAAGUGGAUCAUGAAGAAGGACAAAAGAGAAACAGUGCUGAAGAAGGAUAUCUGCACCGGCAUCCCCUUCCAGGGUCAGAACGGAACCUUCACCACAGACAGUCAGGUCUCUAUCGUGUUUACCGAGGAAGAUGAUGGCAGCACAAUCUUGUGUGAGGUUGGACACCAGUCACUGCCAGAGCCACUGAGGAGAGGCACCAGCAUUCACCUCACUGUGGCAGAGGUUCCCAGCCGUACAGUGCUGGUCGUCAGUAUACUGAUGGUCGCCAUAAUGCUCAUCUUAAUGUCUGGCCUUUUAUACUCAAAAUUCCUGGCAUCAGUGCCUCCUCGGGUCUCAGCACUUAUUCUACCGGAGCUGAAUCUGGUGGGUGAGAAGAUGGUUGCCAUAUGUAACAUCAAUGGCUUCAGACCUAAAACAGUGGCCAUUUGCUGGUACAUUGAAAAGACUGAGCAUGGGACAGGAAGCGGACAGUACAGAGAUGACCAUCUGCUGAAGGCCACUGACAUCACCAGCCAGGCUCAGCAUCCAGUCAGCAGACAUGACAGUCUGUUCAACGCCACCUCGCAGCUGUCGUAUGUCCCCUCUGUCCAGGAUGAUGGGGCCAGACUGGUGUGUGAGGUGCGGCACAAGGCCCUGGGUACUGUAGCCAGGCGGGAGAGCCACAUGCAUGUAGCAGUACGGCCUAAGAAAAGUUACGUAACUAGCUGGCCUCAGGAUCCCCAGUGUGGAGACACAUUGACACUGAGCUGCAUUGUGGAACGAUUCUAUCCAAAGCCCAUAGUGGUGACAUGGCUGAGGAAUGGCCAAGUGCAGAGUGGUGUCACACAGUUCGGGCCAUUUCCCUGUGAAAGUGAGUAUUACAGUGUCUGGAGCCAGAUCGAGCUGACCCUGAAGGAAGAGGAGGAUGGGGCGAUGUACACCUGUCAGAUCAGUCACUGCAGUCUGCGCAGCGUGGAGGAACUGUCCUACGAAGUCAACGCGCAAGGAACACCCCCCGAGGUGCAAUUUAUCAUCGCUGACCCCGCAAACCCAGUCAUUGGACAAGAAAUCCUUCUCAGCUGCAGGAUAAGUAACUUCUUUCCCAAGGAUAUUACAGUGGACUGGUCCAAAGAUGGCUUCAGGUUGGAUGCAGGGAUUUGCCGUUCUCUGUGUGUCACCAACACCAAUGGCAUCCAUUCUAUGUGGAGCUUCCUUAGGUUUAUGCCAGCAGCUGAGGAUGAUGGGAGUGUCUUCACAUGUUCAGUGCAGCAUGUCGCUCUGAGGAAUCGAGAGGAACGAACUUACACCCUAAGCCUUGACACAGAUGACUGCUUUACAUAGAGAUGCCAUUGGUUUUAUACUUGUGAUAAGAAUAAUGGGGGAGAUGCUAAGUUGCCCAUAGCAACCACUCAGAUUGCUUGAAAGAAGAAGAAAAUGAAAGAAGUGAUCUGAUUGGUUGCUAUGGGCAACUCAGCAACUUUUCCUCUGGACAGAUUUUGAUAAAUCUCCCCCUAUAUCCUUAUUGAUAGAGAGUACGAUGAUCCCUGCUCACUAGCGGCAUGCUGCCCAGACAGCAAGUAUAUGACUAUGAGACAGAAAAAGACUCAAACUCUACACACACAGAGUAACUCCAGCUUUACACAUCUGACACAGAGUAACUCCAGCGGUUAAGUGGUUAUCCAGGUAACCCCUUGGGGACGAAGCCCAUUUAGACCUUAAGGACGAGGCCAAUUUUUGUUUUUGCACUUUCAUUUUUUUCCUCCUCCCCU